CUCCGGGUCACACUCUCUCAUCUCGCUUCUACUCUCAGUUCCUAUCACCUAUUCCUUUUUUCUCCGCACCAAAGGCGAUGGCCUUGUAUUUCGUUUGUAUUUCAUCUGAUUGUGGGUUCGAUUUUGGUCCAAAUUAGGAGGUGAUGUGGCGUCGUCAUGUAUCUGGUCACAACUUAGCAUUUCGCAACACUACCGAAGUCAUUAUUUUCCGGUAAACCUCCGCUAAAAAGCACCUACAUUCAAACGUAUCUUUUUAACCCAGAAAAAGCGUUCAGAGUGAAUUUUCAAAGUUACAGAUUCUCCCCAAGAGUGGCAAUACGGCUUCAGGGAUCCGGAACCAGAUUCCUAAUUAAUUUAACUAGAGUGGAGGCACUCAAGGUGAGCUCAGAACGAAUCUUCAAGUCACAACACUAGCCUUGAGAUUAUGCAACCCGACGGCAUUGCUGACGCGUACAAAAAGCUUGCCUCAGCUAUUGAAGGAGCAACAUAGCGGAGUGGGAAUGAAAACUGACUAUCGAUGUUGUCUGAGAGGAUCUCCGAUUUUGUGGACCUAAUUGCAUUAUACCGAGGUGGGAAGUAAGAUUGCAUUCACUAAUGGAUUACUAUUAGAACUAGAGU
Molecule: non-coding RNA, 618 nt
Organism: Bemisia tabaci
Lineage: Eukaryota; Metazoa; Arthropoda; Insecta; Hemiptera; Aleyrodidae
Source: RefSeq, a predicted model, not a curated record